CUUUUGCUAACCAGAAUGAUCCGUAGCCACACUGAAAUAAAACGAACAGGCUUUUUUAUUAGAAAUUUCAUAUUAAUUCAACUGUAUCCUCGUUGCCUAAAAUUUAUAUGGAUUCCUAUGCAUAUCAUCCGCAAAACUCUUUGAAUUCAACAGCGUCCUCAUAAACAUUAUAGUCGGUGGCUUACAUUGAAGCUAUAAGCAUGGGACAUAUAACCGGUACAUGUUUCGUAUAUAGUUUCAGCGGGUUCAACGACAUCUCGUUUUUUAUAUGCGUAUACUUCAUGUCACCACUAUGAUUUUACCCAGUGAGUGCAACAGAUGUAGAGCGGAAGGCGAACCAACAGAAUUACUGAAAAAUUAGCAAAAGCAAUCUUUUUUUUUCAAUUAAGAAUGAAUGUACUACUCGACGUCUCUUCACAUAAAUGAAAGCGAUACAAUGGACAUUGUAAGGAUCGAACCAUUGAGAUUAAGACCUUUUUGGCAAUGACAAGAAAAUAAUGAGCAUUCAAGGACACCCGACUUCGUGAACGACAACGCACUAGGCAAGAUACUGGGCUCUUCCAUAGGUGAUCAAACAAAAAAAAUUGAAAUUUAGAAGUUCUUAAUAGUAACAGGUAAAUAAUAAAUUUGAAAU
Aedes aegypti (yellow fever mosquito) is the source of this 634-nucleotide long non-coding RNA. RefSeq lists it as uncharacterized. NCBI's taxonomy places the organism in Eukaryota, Metazoa, Arthropoda, Insecta, Diptera, Culicidae. The record is from RefSeq and is a predicted model, not a curated record. The transcript is spliced from 3 exons.